AAUAAGUUAGUAACAAAAACAUUGCGCGUGGUAGAAGGUUAAAAUCAUAGUCUUUACCUCUGUAUUUUUCCAGGCACCUAAAUUAUGUUAGAAAAUACAAUAAAAAAAGUUACAAACCUCCUUUUAAAACAACCAUUUUCUAAAUAUUCGCCAAAACCCUGACAAUUGUCAGAAAGCGUGGUAAUGGAGGUUUGUAGUAACUGUAACAACUUGCGACGAAACAGGGUGGAUGGGAAA
Molecule: non-coding RNA, 237 nt
Organism: Schizosaccharomyces pombe (fission yeast)
Lineage: Eukaryota; Fungi; Ascomycota; Schizosaccharomycetes; Schizosaccharomycetales; Schizosaccharomycetaceae
Source: the annotation of a GenBank genome assembly